This 203-nucleotide long non-coding RNA is filed under the name Lathyrus oleraceus (garden pea). Its description in RNAcentral is "Pisum sativum (pea) long non-coding RNA (PSAT_LNC011607)". The record is from RNAcentral. Lineage: Eukaryota; Viridiplantae; Streptophyta; Magnoliopsida; Fabales; Fabaceae.
AUAUCAGUCCACAGUGUCCUAAGCCGAAGAAGGAGAAUCAGUCAGGAGGCAAGGUCUUUGCUUUAUCGGGUUCUGAGACUUCUGCAGAUGAUCGUUGAUCCGAGGUACGUGUUAUAUUAAUGGCUUUCCUCUUGUAGCUAUUAUUGACACCGGUGCUACUCAUUCCUUUAUAUCUUUGGAUUGUGCUGUUAAACUUAAGUUAG